Molecule: ribosomal RNA, 203 nt
Filed under: uncultured bacterium
Lineage: Bacteria
Description: partial 16S ribosomal RNA
Rfam family: Bacterial small subunit ribosomal RNA
Source: RNAcentral
UCCUACGGGAGGCAGCAGUGGGGAAUAUUGCACAAUGGGCGGAAGCCUGAUGCAGCGACGCCGCGUGGGGGAUGACGGCCUUCGGGUUGUAAACUCCUUUCACCAUCGACGAAGGUUUUCUGACGGUAGAUGGAGAAGAAGCACCGGCUAACUCCGUGCCAGCAGCCGCGGUAAUACGUAGGGUGCGAGCGUUGUCCGGAAUU